CAAAAUAAACGGAAAGAGGAGGAAAGGGAGAGGAGGAGAAGGAAACACCAAGGCAUCUGGUUUUAUUGCUGUAUUGCCUCUUCAUAAAAGAGUGGGUCUGACUGAAGGAUUCAAAAGGAGGCUGAGCAGCAGCUCUGGCGGGGCUUCUGCCAGUCACUAGUUCGCAUGGUUGCACCCAGUUCUCUUCCUCUUCCGGUCCUCUUUGCUGAUCUGGACUCUGCCUGAUAUUCUUGUCACAAGGUCAUUGCCCCAGCUUGACGGCUCAGAAACGGCAUCACAUGGUGCACUGCCCCACAUCUGGAGUCCCCAUGCCAUCUGCUAGCAGACCAGCAGCUGACUGCUGUGGGCCUCAGAUCACAGAUUC
Molecule: long non-coding RNA, 364 nt
Organism: Myodes glareolus (Bank vole)
Lineage: Eukaryota; Metazoa; Chordata; Mammalia; Rodentia; Cricetidae
Source: RefSeq, a predicted model, not a curated record